RNAcentral lists this ribosomal RNA (253 nucleotides) under uncultured bacterium. RNAcentral describes it as "partial 16S ribosomal RNA". It matches the Rfam family "Bacterial small subunit ribosomal RNA", at positions 524 to 776 of the family's 1533-position model. The record is from RNAcentral.
UACGUAGGGUGCGCGCGUUAAUCGGAAUUACUGGGCGUAAAGCGUGCGCAGGCGGCUUCGCAAGUCAGACGUGAAAUCCCCGGGCUUAACCUGGGAAUGGCGUUUGAAACUACGGAGCUGGAGUGUGGCAGAGGGAGGUAGAAUUCCACGUGUAGCGGUGAAAUGCGUAGAUAUGUGGAGGAAUACCGAUGGCGAAGGCAGCCUCCUGGGCCAACACUGACGCUCAUGCACGAAAGCGUGGGGAGCAAACAGG